AGAGUUUGAUUCUGGCUCAGGACGAACGCUGGCGGCGUGCCUAACACAUGCAAGUUGAGCGGAGAUAUAUGGAGCUUGCUUUAUAUAACUUAGCAGCGAACGGGUGAGUAACACGUAGAUAAUCUAUCCUAUACUGGGGGAUAGCCCGAUGAAAGUUGGAUUAAUACCGCAUAUAGCUAUAUAGUUGCAUGAUUAUGUAGUGAAAGAUUUAUUGGUAUAGGAGGAGUCUGCGGCACAUUAGCUAGUAGGUGAGGUAAAGGCUUACCUAGGCGACGAUGUGUAGCCGGUCUGAGAGGAUGAACGGCCACAAUGGAACUGAGACACGGUCCAUACUCCUACGGGAGGCAGCAGUGGGGAAUAUUGCACAAUGGGGGAAACCCUGAUGCAGCAACGCCGCGUGAGUGAAGAAGGUUUUCGGAUUGUAAAGCUCUG
This 432-nucleotide ribosomal RNA is filed under the name uncultured bacterium. Its description in RNAcentral is "bacterial SSU rRNA". It matches the Rfam family "Bacterial small subunit ribosomal RNA", at positions 8 to 435 of the family's 1533-position model. The record is from RNAcentral.